Molecule: ribosomal RNA, 406 nt
Filed under: uncultured bacterium
Lineage: Bacteria
Description: partial 16S ribosomal RNA
Rfam family: Bacterial small subunit ribosomal RNA
Source: RNAcentral
AUUGAACGCUGGCGGCAGGCCUAACACAUGCAAGUCGAACGAGUGGCGGACGGGUGAGUAAUGUCUGGGAAACUGCCCGUUGGAGGGGGAUAACUACUGGAAACGGUAGCUAAUACCGCAUACCAUCGGAUGUGCCCAGAUGGGAUUAGCUAGUAGGUGGGGUAACGGCUCACCUAGGCGACGAUCCCUCGCUGGUCUGAGAGGAUGACCAGCCACACUGGAAAGGAGACACGGUUCAUACUCAUACGGGAGGAAGCAGGGGGGAAGAGUGCACAAUGGUCGCAAGCCUGAUGCAGCCAUGCCGAGUGUAGGAAGAAGGCCUUCGGGUUGUAAAGUACUUUCAGCGAGGAGGCGUUACUCGCAGAAGAAUCACCGGCUAACUCCGUGCCAGCAGCCGCGGUAUUUC